RNAcentral lists this ribosomal RNA (753 nucleotides) under Triticum aestivum (bread wheat). RNAcentral's name for it is "partial small subunit ribosomal RNA". Lineage: Eukaryota; Viridiplantae; Streptophyta; Magnoliopsida; Poales; Poaceae. The record is from RNAcentral.
AUGGUUUCUCCUUCUCCUACUCGUACCAGCCGUAACAAGAGGGGCGCGUGGCCGUUCCUCGCCGUGCUGCUGCUGCUGGUCCUGCUCCGCUGCUCGCCGUGCCAAGGCCGCAAGCUGCUGCUGGAGGAGCAGGGCGGCAAGGUGAUGCACUUCGAAGGCGGCCUGGUGCUCAGGGUGUCGCCGAGCCACGACGGCGAGGCGGCACCGGCGGCGCCGAGGGGGUUCUCGAGGGCCGCGCGGUCCAUGCGGGGUGGCCUUGUAGGCAUGGCCUCCGAGGCUGCUGGCACCUCCAUCAUUGUCGCCGUUGCCGUUCGAGCCAUCGUCCUCAUCCUUCUAGCGAACGAAAGGCCCGCCAGAAAUCACGGCAGCUUGAUCGGCGGGGAGCGUGCAGUAGCCCUCCGCUGCCUACGCAUAGCAUUGGCCUUCUCCAAUCAGAUUCUGGCUUCCCUUUCGCUCUUCGCCGUCCUUCCAGAAAGCCGUAACAAGAGGGGCGCGUGGGCGUUCCUCGCCGUGCUGCUGCUGCUGCUGGUCCUGCUCCGCUGCUCGCCGUGCCAAGCGCGCAAGCUGCCGGUGGCAGAUCAGGGCCAGGGCGGCAAGGUGAUGCACUUCGAGGGCGGCCUGGUGCUCAAACUGUCGCCGAGCCCCCAUGGCGGCAACGACGAUGGCGGCGAGGUGGCGGCGGCGGCGCCGAGGGGGUUCUCGAGGGCCGCGCGGUCCAUGCGGUCCGUGCCCAGCCCCGGCGUCGGGCAUUAG